This 1389-nucleotide ribosomal RNA is filed under the name Streptococcus thermophilus. Its description in RNAcentral is "bacterial SSU rRNA". It matches the Rfam family "Bacterial small subunit ribosomal RNA", at positions 68 to 1444 of the family's 1533-position model. The record is from RNAcentral. Lineage: Bacteria; Bacillati; Bacillota; Bacilli; Lactobacillales; Streptococcaceae.
GAAGAGAGGAGCUUGCUCUUCUUGGAUGAGUUGCGAACGGGUGAGUAACGCGUAGGUAACCUGCCUUGUAGCGGGGGAUAACUAUUGGAAACGAUAGCUAAUACCGCAUAACAAUGGAUGACACAUGUCAUUUAUUUGAAAGGGGCAAUUGCUCCACUACAAGAUGGACCUGCGUUGUAUUAGCUAGUAGGUGAGGUAAUGGCUCACCUAGGCGACGAUACAUAGCCGACCUGAGAGGGUGAUCGGCCACACUGGGACUGAGACACGGCCCAGACUCCUACGGGAGGCAGCAGUAGGGAAUCUUCGGCAAUGGGGGCAACCCUGACCGAGCAACGCCGCGUGAGUGAAGAAGGUUUUCGGAUCGUAAAGCUCUGUUGUAAGUCAAGAACGGGUGUGAGAGUGGAAAGUUCACACUGUGACGGUAGCUUACCAGAAAGGGACGGCUAACUACGUGCCAGCAGCCGCGGUAAUACGUAGGUCCCGAGCGUUGUCCGGAUUUAUUGGGCGUAAAGCGAGCGCAGGCGGUUUGAUAAGUCUGAAGUUAAAGGCUGUGGCUCAACCAUAGUUCGCUUUGGAAACUGUCAAACUUGAGUGCAGAAGGGGAGAGUGGAAUUCCAUGUGUAGCGGUGAAAUGCGUAGAUAUAUGGAGGAACACCGGUGGCGAAAGCGGCUCUCUGGUCUGUAACUGACGCUGAGGCUCGAAAGCGUGGGGAGCGAACAGGAUUAGAUACCCUGGUAGUCCACGCCGUAAACGAUGAGUGCUAGGUGUUGGAUCCUUUCCGGGAUUCAGUGCCGCAGCUAACGCAUUAAGCACUCCGCCUGGGGAGUACGACCGCAAGGUUGAAACUCAAAGGAAUUGACGGGGGCCCGCACAAGCGGUGGAGCAUGUGGUUUAAUUCGAAGCAACGCGAAGAACCUUACCAGGUCUUGACAUCCCGAUGCUAUUUCUAGAGAUAGAAAGUUACUUCGGUACAUCGGUGACAGGUGGUGCAUGGUUGUCGUCAGCUCGUGUCGUGAGAUGUUGGGUUAAGUCCCGCAACGAGCGCAACCCCUAUUGUUAGUUGCCAUCAUUCAGUUGGGCACUCUAGCGAGACUGCCGGUAAUAAACCGGAGGAAGGUGGGGAUGACGUCAAAUCAUCAUGCCCCUUAUGACCUGGGCUACACACGUGCUACAAUGGUUGGUACAACGAGUUGCGAGUCGGUGACGGCGAGCUAAUCUCUUAAAGCCAAUCUCAGUUCGGAUUGUAGGCUGCAACUCGCCUACAUGAAGUCGGAAUCGCUAGUAAUCGCGGAUCAGCACGCCGCGGUGAAUACGUUCCCGGGCCUUGUACACACCGCCCGUCACACCACGAGAGUUUGUAACACCCGAAGUCGGUGAGGUAACCUUUG